UUUUGGACGGCCCAGAUUGCGACUGCUUCAUUCCUCCUUGAAGACUUUUCCUUGUACAUCAGCACAGGACAACGCAUUUCCACCUUCAGGGUUGAGCACCUCUGGAUCAGAACACCGCCCCUCUCUCUCCCCCCCCCCCCCCCUCCCCCACCCCCACCCCUCUCUCUCUCUCUCUCUCCUUCCUCUGGUCAGGUAUUCAUCUUAUUUGCAAUAUGUACACUUCUGUAUACAUGUAUACUUAUAGAGUUUUCGAAGCUUCAAGUUUUUUAUCUUCCUUUAUGUGAACUUGGCUCCUUUUGGAU
RNAcentral lists this long non-coding RNA (302 nucleotides) under Actinidia chinensis (golden kiwifruit). Its description in RNAcentral is "long non-coding RNA (ACHI_LNC007585)". The record is from RNAcentral. Lineage: Eukaryota; Viridiplantae; Streptophyta; Magnoliopsida; Ericales; Actinidiaceae.